Molecule: long non-coding RNA, 1456 nt
Filed under: Musa acuminata (dwarf banana)
Lineage: Eukaryota; Viridiplantae; Streptophyta; Magnoliopsida; Zingiberales; Musaceae
Description: long non-coding RNA (MACU_LNC000899)
Source: RNAcentral
UUCUCCUUCAAAAAUUCUGCCACUCUUACGGAUCUCUUGCUCUCCACCUGUUUGUUGUGGUAUGCGUGCAGGACUCGGUUCAAUUAUGGGCUACGGAAGAACAUAGCCUAAGAUUCCACUUUAUCCGGACUUCAGGUAAAAAUCGAAUCUUUUGUCAGUACUGACAUCUUCUUCCAUCUACAUCACAACGACUACUCAUUCGGGGGGGCCUUCACCUGUACAAAAGGACAAAAAAAAUAAAAAGCAAAAGGACUGCGCUUGCUAACGAAAGGAGAGGAAUCAGCUCAUACCCAUUCAUUGAGAUAUUCCCAUUAUCAUUCUGGAGUUGGAAGAAGCCCUGCUUGAGCUUCCAAUCCCUUCUCUUCAUCUCUUCUCGUCCUCUCAUCAUAUCCAAAGUUGCUCCUGGCCACCCUCAAUUGUGGAUCACAAAUUUUGCUGUACUACCAAGGAAGAUGGAUUUCAAACAAGAAGUUGCUCCUGGCCAUCUUCAAUUGUGGAUCACAAAUUUUGCUGUACUACCAAGGAAGAUGGAUUUCAAACAAGAUUGAGGAAGACAGAUAAGUACAAAUUACCAAAGGUCUUGAAUUUUAGAUAAGCCUAAAAUGCCAAUUUUUAUGGUUCGAUUACGUAUGGGCUUGCGUGGCAUUAGACUAAUGAUUAAUCCAACAGCUGAAAGAAAAAUAUCUGGUGCACGGAGAGAGAUGAUAUGUGGAGUAGCAAAUAUUGCUGCUCCCAUGUCCAUCAUUGAUAUAAUCAGUGGUGGAACAAAGAUCAGAUAUUCUGUAAGACCUACCCAUCAGGCUUCACUAGUUCUCCUAAUGUAUCAGAGUGAGGAACACUGAAGCUAACUAACCUGUAAAUUGAAUAAGAAUGGUGGAAUGGAAUUCAUACGAUUUAGGGAUUGGAUACAUCUAAAGCAGAAUGCUUAUAGAAGUAGUGAAUACAUGAAUUUUUACAUAUCUGCCUGAUUUAUGUUCAAUGCUGGCUGAAAUCAAGUCAAUAGACAAAAGAUAGCCACCUGUAACUCUAGUGCUUUAAUCAAAAUUACGAAGUAUAAAUGACUCGAUCAAGUAACUAAGUAGUUUCACAACAGAGAGUAAAUUUAAAAUGGUCAUGUGUAGGUUACCAAAAUGAAUAUUUUUCUUAUGUUCUACAAGGAAAUGCAACAUAAUCACAAUAAAAUUAUCAUAGUAUUUUGACAGUAGUAGUAGAACAAUCAAGAAAAUAUGUCUGCUGAUAUGCCUCUAUAGUCCAUUUUAUGAAAGAAUUUUGUGAACCAUCAAAUAUGGAGAAAAUAGUGUGCAGAGAGAUGUGUUUCAGGUGUCAUAACUGAAAGGCAAAUAGAUAAGAGAUAUUUACUGUGAUGGUGUGAUUUAGUGUAGAAACAUUAAAGUGGUGCUCCCAUAAUCAGGAGAAAGCAAGAGGCACACAUGUAAAAUGCUCUUCCAAUUCUUAC